Molecule: ribosomal RNA, 253 nt
Filed under: uncultured bacterium
Lineage: Bacteria
Description: partial 16S ribosomal RNA
Rfam family: Bacterial small subunit ribosomal RNA
Source: RNAcentral
UACGGAGGGUGCAAGCGUUAUCCGGAUUUACUGGGUUUAAAGGGUGCGUAGGCGGGCCCUUAAGUCAGUGGUGAAAGCUCCGAGCUUAACUCGGAAACCGCCAUUGAUACUAUAGGUCUUGAAUUCGGUCGAGGUUGGCGGAAUGUGUCGUGUAGCGGUGAAAUGCUUAGAUAUGACACAGAACACCGAUUGCGAAGGCAGCUAGCUAGACCGACAUUGACGCUGAGGCACGAAAGCGUGGGGAUCAAACAGG